UCUUCUGUGAUGAUCAACACAUUGACUUUCGUUCUUCUGAGUGUACUGAAGCCAUCUUUUUGUCCUGAGAAGA
This is a small nucleolar RNA of Takifugu rubripes (torafugu), 73 nucleotides long. Ensembl annotates it as small nucleolar RNA SNORD59. NCBI's taxonomy places the organism in Eukaryota, Metazoa, Chordata, Actinopteri, Tetraodontiformes, Tetraodontidae. The record is from Ensembl.